UUAUUGGAGAGUUUGAUCCUGGCUCAGGAUGAACGCUGGCGGCGUGCCUAAUACAUGCAAGUCGAGCGAAUGGAU
RNAcentral lists this ribosomal RNA (75 nucleotides) under Bacillus cereus. RNAcentral's name for it is "partial 16S ribosomal RNA". It matches the Rfam family "Bacterial small subunit ribosomal RNA", at positions 1 to 75 of the family's 1533-position model. The record is from RNAcentral. RNAcentral also lists the same sequence under 3 other names. Lineage: Bacteria; Bacillati; Bacillota; Bacilli; Caryophanales; Bacillaceae.